GAUGAACGCUGGCGGCGUGCCUAAUACAUGCAAGUCGAGCGAACAGACGAGGAGCUUGCUCCUCUGACGUUAGCGGCGGACGGGUGGGUAACACGUGGAUAACCUACCUAUAAGACUGGGAUAACUUCGGGAAACCGGAGCUAAUACCGGAUAAUAUAUUGACCCGCAUGGUUCAAUAGUGAAAGACGGUUUUGCUGUCACUUAUAGAUGGAUCCGCGCCGCAUUAGCUAGUUGGUAAGGUAACGGCUUACCAAGGCAACGAUGCGUAGCCGACCUGAGAGGGUGAUCGGCCACAGUGGAGCUGAGACACGGGCCAGACUCCUACGGGGGGCAGCAGUAGGGAGUCGGGCGCGAUGGGCGAAGGCCUGACGGAGCAGCGCCGCGUGAGUGAGGAAGGUCUUCGGAUCGUAAAACUCUGUUAUUAGGGAAGAACAAAUGUGUAAUGAACUAUGCACGGCUUGACGGUACCUAAUCAGAAAGCCACGGCUAACUACGUG
Molecule: ribosomal RNA, 497 nt
Filed under: uncultured bacterium
Lineage: Bacteria
Description: partial 16S ribosomal RNA
Rfam family: Bacterial small subunit ribosomal RNA
Source: RNAcentral